GGUGAUGCGUUCACAUUGAUGGCUUAUUCCACUCAAACUAAACAGCGGGGGCAUUUAUCAAGUGUUUACAUUAUUACAAGGAUGAAAUGUAGACUUUGUCUAACUAUAAAGAAUCCAAUGAACGCAGCUGAUGACGAAGAUGCUGCUUUUUGGCAACACCUUCUGUCCAAAGAAUACCCCUCGCAAGUCUGUUUCUGUCUUCAAUCUUCACACGUUGGAUUGGUCUACGAGGGAAAUAGAGUUGGGUCUUGAGUAUGCAGCCCCUGUUAUGAACAUUGGGGGGCCAUAGCUUGACAUUUGAAGACGGACAAUGGAUUGCAGUCUGAAGGGAAUGUAUCUGGGAAGGAGGUGCAGAGACUGAAAAAUAGGAACCUAGAGCUUGAAAAGGAGAACAACCUACUCUGAAGAUUGACUGAUGGUUAUUGUUACACCAGAUGCUGAAUGUGACUGCAAGCUGUACUGCACAGACAAACGUCAUUGGAGGUGUUUCAUUCUAUGGCUCAAUAGCUUUCACAAACUGGCCAAGUCUGUGUAAACAAAUUCAGUAAAGACAAUCAUAAUCCAAAGGCUCAGUCAGUCAUACAUUGAGUAAGCGUUGCAGGUCAGGCUACAUCGGUGUAUGGGAAAACAUAUAAACCUUUUGACCGAGUAUGGUAAUGAUUGACCAAGAGUGAUGUUUGAAUUAUUAGUCAUUGUACCAGUACAGUGUGAGCCACAGAACCUUUCUUCCAAAAUAUAUCAUUGAUCGGUUUGUGAGGGUUUGAGAAAUGGGUCUUCUUGGCCCACUUACAUACCCACUCCUUCCUCCUAGAGAGGACCAUCCUCUUGAGGGACAAUGGGAGUCAGUACAACCAAGAGGAUGAGGGCUGGACCCCUGAUGGUGGCUGGGGCUGGAUGGAAGCUGGGGCUGGAUGGUGGCUGGGGCUACUCAUCUGUUUCGUCGUCACUGGGUUCUCCUACGCUUUCCCCAAAGCUGUCAGUGUCUCCUUCAAAAAGCUGAUGAGGGACUUUGAAGUGUGCCACAGCGACACGGCCUGAAUCUCCUCCAUCAUGCUCUAUGGAUCAGGUCAGAGGUCAAUCAUAGAGAUGAUACAGGGGCCUCUGAGAGCUUGAAUUGUAUACGAAACAAAGCUGUCAGAUGUAAAAAAUGAAAAAAUACGUCGUUCAAUGGGAAAAACAAAACAGAAAAGUGUCUGGGAAAUGUAUUUGUUGUCUGGAGAUGCAAGUCUCUUGUAGUUCUGCAUAAUUUAAUUAACAAAUACACAUGGCCUGUUUGUCUGUGAACGCCUUCUGCCCAGGCCCAGUGUCCAGUAUCAUGGUCAACAGGUUUGACAGCAGGUCGGUGAUGCAGGUCGGAGGUUUGCUGGCAUCAGCAGGCAUGGUGGGACCUUCCUUCACCACCGCCAUUAAACAUCUUUACCUUACAGGUUCUGCUGGACCACUAUGGCUAGAGGGAAGGCUUUCUCAUCAUGGUGGACUGCUGCUCACCUGCGGGUCUUUCAUGAGACCUCUGGAGAGGAGAUGGAGAAAAGAGGAGGAAACGGGAGAAGGGAACGAACCAGCGCUGAAAGAGAUGUUUCCUUCAAAAGUAGGAAAGGAGAAGAAUGGAAUAGAAAAUCAGCUUUUGGACUUAAGGGGGGUGCCUGAACAGGUGGUUGUUGAUCUUCACUGAGUGGACAAAACAUUUGGAACACCUUCCUAAUAUUGAGUUGCACCCAUUUUUCAGUCGGAAUAGCCUCAAUUCAUCGGGGCAUGGACUCGACAAGGUGUCGAAAGCGUUCCACAGGGAUGCUGGCCUAUGUUGACUCCAAUGCUUCUCACAGUUGUGUCAAGUUGGCUGGAUGUCGUUUGGGUGGUCGACCAUUCUUGAUACACACGGGAAACUGUUGACCGUGAAAACCACAGCAGCGUUGCAGUUCUUGACGCACUCAAAACGGUGUGCCUGGCACCUACUACCAUAACUCAUUCAAAGGCACUUAAAUCUGUUGUUUUGCCCAUUCACCCUCUGAAUGGCACACAUACACAAUCCAUGUCUCAAUUGUCUCAAGGCUUGAAAAUAAUUAUUUAACCUGACUCCUCCCCUUCAUCUACACUGAUUGAAGUGGAUUUAACAAGUGACAUCAAUAAGGGAUCAUAGCUUUCACCUUGAUUCACCUGGUCAGUCAAUGUUAUGGUGAUUAUAGGGGGACUUUACAAUGAUGGUGAAAACUUGGAGAAAAGUUUGGGUUAUGUGAGUUAAAAUCUACCGGAAAGUCACAGAGGGUGCACGGAGGGACAUGUCCAAAUGCUGAAUUUAGGCACUUUAGCAAGUCUUUAUUAAUAUAAAAAAAUCGGAUUAAUUGAAUUCUCAAUGUGGUCUAUAUUAAAGGGCACUUCAUUAAAUAUAACAGGCUUUUAAAAAUUGUAUAUUGGUGCACAAUUUCUACUUAAAAUAUCAAAGGGACGCAAAAGGCACUCAUUUCGUGGAACAAGCCAGUAAUUCGUGGAACAACCCAGUAAUUGUUAUGGCUCUAAAAUAACUAAAUACGUAUUCUGCUCUGAAUGGUUUUUCAUUAAGCAUUAAUAUUCUACAUACAUUCUUUCAAACCAUUAUAUAUUUUAAUAUUCAGUAUUAAUCAGUUAAUAGUGGAGGAGGCCAAUUAAACAUGUCAACAUUCUGUAUUUAGGCUUUCGUGUUUGUCCAUGUACCUAAUCUUGGUUAACCUCAAUUUUAUUUGCGUAGUCUGUCCAAGAGAGAUUAUUCUACCUGGCUUACAACUGGCUAGUUUCAAGUGUUAAUGUCACAUGCACAAGUACAGUGCUGCUGCCUUUCUUGCAGCUCGAAGCCCAACAAUGCAGUAAUAAAUAUCAAUGCAGCACUAAACAUAACAAGGUAGGAAAAAACACACAAUAAAUAGAAAUAAGAAGAUGAGGAAUUAAGAAGCUAUAUACAGGGUCAGUAGCGAAAUACAGGGUCAGUUCCAGGGUCAGUAGCGAAAUACAGGGUCAGUUCCAAGGUCAUUAGCGAAAUACAGGGUCAGUUCCAAGGUCAGUAGCUAUAUACAGGGUCAGUUCCAGGUUCAGUUCCAAUACCAUAUUUACAAUAUGCAGGGUUACUGGAGUGAUAGAGGUACAGUGCCUUUAGAAAGUUUUCAUACCCCUUGAUUUAUUCAACAUCUUGUUGUGUUACAGCCUGAAUUCACAAUACCCCAUAAUGACAAAGUGAAAACAUUUUUUUGAAAUGCUUGCCAAUUUAUUGAAAAUGAAAUACAGAAAUAUCUAAUUUACAUAAGUAUUCACUCCCCCGAAUCAAUACAUGUUAGAAUCACCUUGGCAGCCAUUACAGCUUUGAGUAUUUCUGGGUAAAUCGCUAAGAGUUUUGCACAUCUGGAUUGUACAAUUUGCACAUUAUUCUUAAAAAAAAAAAUCUUCUAGUUCUGUGAAGUUGGUUGUUGAUCAUUGUUAGACAGUCAUUUUCAAGUCUUGCCAUAGAUUUCAAAGCCGAUUUAAGUCAAAACUGUAACUCGGACACUCAGGAACAUUCAAUGAUAUCUUGGUAAACAACUGCAGUGUAUAAUUUGGCCUUGUGUUUUAGGUUAUUUUCCUGCUGAAAGGUGAAUUUGUCUCCAGUGGCAGUUGGAAAGCAGACAGAACCAGGUUUCCCUCUUAAAUUGUGCCUGUGCUUAUCUCUAGUCCGUUUUUUUUAUCAAAAACACUCCCUAGUUCUUGCCAAUCUGUGCUCGGGGGGUCGCGAACUUCCUACAGGACUGGUGCGCAGAAGAAAUGCUAUGCCACGCAUAGACGCAAGAGAUUGAACAUUAGUUUGCACUAUAUAGAUAAACGUUUAUUCUGUGAUCGAAUCAAUAUUAUAUCAGCCCCUUUUCAAUGGAACAAACCAAAACACAUAACUUUGCAAGAUUGAGUCAGAUUUUGUUGUAGGAAUAGCCAGAGCGCAAAAGAGUAGAAUUCUGUUGGCGGGGGUAGUUUAAGAGCGGUGAGCCACAUUUGUUGAUAUUCUUUGCUAGUUAGCGAGUUAUUAGCCCAGUUAUACAUAAGUAUAGGUCAGUAAAGGGGAGUUACUAAUCGGACCAAGACACAGCGUAGUUUGUGCUCAACAUAUUUAAUAAUGACGAUAAACGUGAACACUUAACAAUUACAAAAUAACAAAAUGUGGCAAACCGAUACAGUCCUAGCUGGUGCAGCGAAAACACAAAGACAGGAAACAACCACCCACAAUCCCCAACACAAAACAAGCCACCUAAAUAUGAUUCCCAAUCAGAGACAACACAAAACACCUGCCUCUGAUUGGGAACCAUAUUAGGCCAAAUAUAGAAACAGACAAACUAGACAGACAACAUAGAAUGCCCACCCAGCUCACGUCCUGACCAACACUAAAACAAGCAAAACACAGAAGAACUAUGGUCAGAACGUGACAGCAUCAAAAGUCGUGCUAUAAAUUCUCAGACAACCCAAAGAUUCCUUGAUGCCCUUCCAGACUCCCUCUGCCUACCUAAGGACGUCAGAGGACAAAAAUCAGUUAACCACAUAACUGAGGAACUCAAUUUAACCUUGCGCAAUACCCUAGAUGCAGUUGCACCCCUAAAAACUAAAACCAUUUGUCAUAAGAAACUAGCUCCCUGGUUGUUAUGGGAUUUUUAUGAAUAAAUGACUAAAAUAUCUAAAAUAUGUAUACAUUUGACUUAGAUGUUACUGUAUGAAUGAAACUUAUUAUAAUCAUAAUGCUGAAUGUGAUAUGUUCCUUGUUAGAAAGAAUGGGUUUAUCUUCAGACAGGCUUGAAUGUUGUAUCUACCCAGGGAGGGGAAAGACCUUGGGUUGGUUGCAGAUAGUUUAACAGGUGGCAGACAGUAAUGAGAACGCUAACUAUACUGCCAUUGUAUCCGAGAGGAGGAUGGACAUUAAAACCUAUGACAUUAUCUUUAUUAUAUAACCUGAUGUAAAUUAUACCAUGAUCAGUACUCUCGAGAAUAAACGCUAUUGAUUGAUUGAUUUUGA
Long non-coding RNA from Salvelinus fontinalis (brook trout), 4993 nucleotides. RefSeq lists it as uncharacterized. The transcript is spliced from 5 exons. The record is from RefSeq and is a predicted model, not a curated record. Lineage: Eukaryota; Metazoa; Chordata; Actinopteri; Salmoniformes; Salmonidae.